RNAcentral lists this ribosomal RNA (253 nucleotides) under uncultured bacterium. Its description in RNAcentral is "partial 16S ribosomal RNA". It matches the Rfam family "Bacterial small subunit ribosomal RNA", at positions 524 to 776 of the family's 1533-position model. The record is from RNAcentral.
GACGAACCGUGCGAACGUUAUUCGGAAUCACUGGGCUUAAAGGGCGCGUAGGCGGGCCGCCCAGUCAGGGGUGAAAUCCCCGGGCUCAACCCGGGAACUGCGUCCGAUACUGGAAGGCUUGAAUCCGGGAGAGGGAUGCGGAAUUCCAGGUGUAGCGGUGAAAUGCGUAGAUAUCUGGAGGAACACCGGUGGCGAAGGCGGCAUCCUGGACCGGCAUUGACGCUGAGGCGCGAAAGCCAGGGGAGCAAACGGG